Molecule: small RNA, 573 nt
Filed under: Pan troglodytes (chimpanzee)
Lineage: Eukaryota; Metazoa; Chordata; Mammalia; Primates; Hominidae
Description: processed transcript
Source: RNAcentral
GCGUCCCGCUCGCUGGGAGAGAGGUACCUCUCCUUUUCCCUCUCCCUUUCCCUAAGGAGUGGAGUCAACAUAUCAAUGGAGCAAGUCACAGUCGUCGAUGCCAGCUUCUUCUUGAAAUCUACCCAGAAUGGAAUCCUGACAAUGAUACAGGACACACAAUGGGUGAUCCAUUCAUGUUGCAGCAGUCUACAAAUCCAGCACCAGGAAUUCUGGGACCUCCACCUCCCUCAUUUCAUCUUGGGGGACCAGCAGUUGGACCAAGAGGAAAUCUGGAAACCUGAAGGAAAGCCAGAUCAGAAGUUUGAUCAAAAGCAAGAGCUUGGACGUGUGAUACAUCUCAGCAAUUUGCCGCAUUCUGGCUAUUCUGAUAGUGCUGUUCUCAAGCUUGCUGAGCCUUAUGGGAAAAUAAAGAAUUACAUAUUGAUGAGGAUGAAAAGUCAGGCUUUUAUUGAGAUGGAGACAAGAGAAGAUGCAAUGGCAAUGGUUGACCAUUGUUUGAAAAAAGCCCUUUGGUUUCAGGGGAGAUGUGUGAAGGUUGACCUGUCUGAGAAAUAUAAAAAACUGGUUCUGAGG